GACGAACGCUGGCGGCGUGCCUAAUACAUGCAAGUCGAGCGCAGGAAACUGACGGAACUCUUCGGAGGGAGGGCAGCGGAAUGAGCGGCGGACGGGUGAGUAACACGUAAGGAACCUGCCUCAAGGAUUGGGAUAACUCCGAGAAAUCGGAGCUAAUACCGGAUAGUUCAACGGACCGCAUGGUCCGCUGAUGAAAGGCGCUUCGGCGUCACCUUGAGAUGGCCUUGCGGUGCAUUAGCUAGUUGGUGGGGUAACGGCCCACCAAGGCGACGAUGCAUAGCCGACCUGAGAGGGUGAUCGGCCACACUGGGACUGAGACACGGCCCAGACUCCUACGGGAGGCAGCAGUAGGGAAUCUUCCACAAUGGACGAAAGUCUGAUGGAGCAACGCCGCGUGAGUGAUGAAGGUUUUCGGAUCGUAAAACUCUGUUGUAAGGGAAGAACACGUACGAGAGGAAAUGCUCGUACCUUGACGGUACCUUACGAGAAAGCCACGGCUAACUACGUGCCAGCCGCCGCGGUAA
This 524-nucleotide ribosomal RNA is filed under the name uncultured bacterium. Its description in RNAcentral is "partial 16S ribosomal RNA". It matches the Rfam family "Bacterial small subunit ribosomal RNA", at positions 28 to 523 of the family's 1533-position model. The record is from RNAcentral.